This 468-nucleotide ribosomal RNA is filed under the name uncultured bacterium. RNAcentral's name for it is "partial 16S ribosomal RNA". It matches the Rfam family "Bacterial small subunit ribosomal RNA", at positions 28 to 507 of the family's 1533-position model. The record is from RNAcentral.
GACGAACGCUGGCGGCGUGCUUAACACAUGCAAGUCGAACGGAAAGGCCCUGCUUUUGUGGGGUGCUCGAGUGGCGAACGGGUGAGUAACACGUGAGUAACCUGCCCUUGACUUUGGGAUAACUUCAGGCAACUGGGGCUAAUACCGGAUAGGAGCUCCUGCUGCAUGGUGGGGGUUGGAAAGUUUCGGCGGUUGGGGAUGGACUCGCGGCUUAUCAGCUUGUUGGUGGGGUAGUGGCUUACCAAGGCUUUGACGGGUAGCCGGCCUGAGAGGGUGACCGGCCACAUUGGGACUGAGAUACCGGCCCAGACUCUACGGGGGGCAGGAGGGGGGAAUAUUGCAAAAUGGGGCGGAGGCCUAAUCCGGAACGGCGGGUGGGGGAUGACGGCCUUCGGGUUGUAAACCGCUUUCGCCUGUGACGAAGCGUGAGUGACGGUAAUGGGUAAAGAAGCACCGGCUAACUACGUG